This 484-nucleotide ribosomal RNA is filed under the name uncultured bacterium. Its description in RNAcentral is "partial 16S ribosomal RNA". It matches the Rfam family "Bacterial small subunit ribosomal RNA", at positions 30 to 507 of the family's 1533-position model. The record is from RNAcentral.
AUUGAACGCUGGCGGCAGGCCUAACACAUGCAAGUCGAGCGGAUGAAGUGUGCUUGCUCCUGGAUUCAGCGGCGGACGGGUGUGUAAUGCCUAGGAAUCUGCCUGGUAGUGGUUGAUAACGUCCGUAAACGGGCGCUAAUACCGCAUACGUCCUGUUGUAGAAAGUUGUGGUUCUUCUUACCUCUCGCUUUCUUAUGUUCCUAGUUCGGAUUAGCUAGUUGGUGGGGUAAAGUCCUACCAAGGCUACGAUCCGUAACUGGUCUGAGAGGAUGAUCAGUCAAACUGGAACUGAGACACGGUACAGACGAGUACGGGAGGCAGCAGUGGGGAAUAUUGGACAAUGGGCGAAAGCAUGAUAAAGAAAAGCCGCGUGUGUGAAGAAGGUCUUCGGAUUGGAAAGAACUUUAAGUUGGGAGGAAGGGAAGUAAGAUAAUACAUUGAUGUAUUGACGUUAACAAAAGAAUAAGCACCGGCUAACUACGUG